CCCCCUAAAAGUGUAGUAAAGAUAAAAAGAUUAACUAUUGUUGUGUGAUUAUUGAACAGUCGCGUGCUCCUUCACCACAUUAUUUAUUAACUGUUUUGUCGCACAAUAACACGUGCAACUUUUGUAUUAAUAUGGACAAUCAUAAGUAAACCCAUACAACAUAAAGUAAUUCCCCCUUAAAUAAAGUUCUGUGAAGUGAAAGUCCACGUUUUAAAGCGAGAGUUAAGAUAUUUUUUUUGCAUAUUUCGAGAGCAAAUUCUACUUAGAAACGCACUGCUACAGCUUUGAGGGCUAGUCUUCACUCCACGCCUUUUCACCCAAAAGUGAAUCACGCGAUUAUAAUCUAGAGUUUAAAGAGCCCUGCUCUGUUCAACUACUAAAUGUGCAGUUUACAUCUGAAAUAAGCGAUAAGAGCAACUAUUAACCCGCCAGGUAAGAGAACUCAUUUCACGCGCUGUGGUGAUGUGGGGUUAUUGUGGUUGACAGCUGAAGCCCUUUAGACAUACUUGCAGCUACAAGUUCGCAGACAGUUAUGUGUUGAAAGGGAAAUGAAUCAGCCCUUAAACGCUUUUAAAUGCGGACUCAUUCAGCAGGAAAGCACGGGGUUUAGACUGGCCUGCGAGUGCCGAUAGUUUUGAUUAAAAGGAAAGAUACAUGGUGAACGAACUAAAAGCUGUUUCAUUCUCGAUGAAUAUUUCCCCCUUGGUCCGGCUAUUCUGGCAAAGGAAGUAUAGAGAGCAGUGAUUCUCCUCAUGUGUUGGAAUACAGGCUGUGCUCUAGUGAUGGGCAGAUCGAUUCUUAAAGGCACAAUAUUUUGGGAAGGAGCCACUUUCUAUUCCAGCAUGAAAAUGCCCCUGUGCACAGAGAGGUCCAUGGUGUACUCAGUCUGGAGUAGAACCUUGACUAGUCCACACAAAGCCCAGAGCUGGACCUCACUGAACACCUUUGGGAUGAUUUGGAAUGCAGACUUCAAGCCAAGACACAUCAGCCAACAACAGUGCUUGUCUUUACUGUGUGUGAAUUGGAACAAAUCCCCGCUGCCAUAUUUCAACAUAAUGGCAAAGCCUUUAAAGAUAAGUGGAAGCUCUAGCAGCCACAGCCUCCACACUGCAUGCAUAAGCACCAUAGUGUUGUGGCACUGGAAAAGAUAUAUUUUGGAGAACCUGAAAGUCAGAAAAAGCCGUGUGGUGUUAGAGUUAUCACGUCAAAACUUAAACUAACAGCUCCUGCUCUACUAGUUUCCUGCUGAUCCAGUACGGCUGCCGCUAACACUGGACAGAUGUGUUUUCCUCCAUGACAGCUCAUGAC
This is a long non-coding RNA of Cyprinus carpio carpio, 1308 nucleotides long. The record is from Ensembl. NCBI's taxonomy places the organism in Eukaryota, Metazoa, Chordata, Actinopteri, Cypriniformes, Cyprinidae.